AGUGGGAUAGCUGGGUCAAAUGGUGGUUCCAUUCCCAGUUUUCCAACGAAUUGCCACACUACUUUCCAGAUUGGCUGCACCAAUUUGCAGUCCCAUCAGCAAU
RNAcentral lists this microRNA precursor (103 nucleotides) under Marmota monax (woodchuck). The record is from RNAcentral. Lineage: Eukaryota; Metazoa; Chordata; Mammalia; Rodentia; Sciuridae.